Gasterosteus aculeatus aculeatus (three-spined stickleback) is the source of this 1192-nucleotide non-coding RNA. Lineage: Eukaryota; Metazoa; Chordata; Actinopteri; Perciformes; Gasterosteidae. The record is from RefSeq and is a predicted model, not a curated record.
UUCAGCCAUUAUCAAUUGCAGCUGUUUGGUUCUUUGUAAAAAAAACAGGAGAGAAGUCUGCCAAGACGAAGCGCAGGAGUGAUCCAUGCUGACUAAUGUGACAGCGUUUCCUCGGGUGAAUGUGUCACAUAUUACACCUGACACUGGUGUGAUGGAUUACCGAGCCCUCGGGUUAUAAUAUCUUGGAGGGGUCGCACACAGAGAUUUGUGCACACUAACAAAAUCAUUGUGUCACACACAAUGUGCACAAAAAAACACUGCACCAACAGAAAGCAUACUCUAAGUCAGUGGUUCUCAAAUGGAGGUACGUGAUUUUUUUAUUUUUAAUUAAAAUUAGCAUCCAUUCAAAAAUAGUUCUUAAAUAUUCAAAAUUUCAUUAACUGUUUAUGUAGUACGCUAUUUAAUUUUCUUAUCCUGAAAACCCAGAGUCUCCUCCAUACUAAGAUGCUUUGACCCAAUCUGGCACACGCCCCCUGUCUUCACCUAUCAAUAACUGCUGCCUUGAAAGCUACAAUAGAGUUGUAGUUGAAGCGUAGCAGCGCUGCUGUCUACAAGACGCAUCCUACCCAAAGUGUGGUUUCAGUGUUCUACAUGUAGCCGGGUGAAGUGGGGGCAGGGAGGUUUUUGGACUGCUAGAUGGUCCGCACAGAGGGUGAGGGCGUACUGCCCCUUUAAGUACAUGGGCAUGAGUUCACGUGGGAUUUGGAGCUGCAGAGCGGGACCUAGUGGCUACUAACACGACACAGUGUUAGCGGUUAGCAUCGGAACAGCGUUAGGGAAAUACCUGUUCAGCGGGUCAGCAGGGGAGUAACAAGCUGCUGUGGGUCGAGGUUGCACGUGCAUGGAGCCGUGCGCGCCGGCGCUUGAGUGAGUUUGUUUUCGGGACUUUUUGGAGGAACGACAAUGGUGUGGGAUUUGAACAGCAUGAGACCAAUGUGCAUGUUUUUGUUUCUGUUUAACAGGAAGGGGUCACUACUGUUGUUUUUUUUUGUAUGUAACUGUUAGCUUCACGUAAUUUCUAGCUUAAGGUAAUCGUUAGCUCUAUUCCAUUACAUCCGAUUAGUUAGUGAAGCGAAGCAAUUGGUUAUUUGUACACUGUUCCAAGUGCCUCCUUAAUUUGACACAUUAAGGCUGUGCUCCAGGAGUGCAGUCGGGGGAAAUAAAGAACCCACAUUAAAGAGAAAUAAAUUUA